Non-coding RNA from Arachis ipaensis, 7666 nucleotides. The record is from RefSeq and is a predicted model, not a curated record. NCBI's taxonomy places the organism in Eukaryota, Viridiplantae, Streptophyta, Magnoliopsida, Fabales, Fabaceae.
AUAAUAAAUUAAAACAAAAUACUCACAUAUUCAAAUGGAAAAAAAUACAAAAGAUAUGAGAAAAGUUGCUUAAUGGGUUUGUUAUUCUCCCUUUUUAUUUAAUGUGGUAGCUGAAGAACUAUUCACGAAUAAGGGGAAAUAAAAAUAAGAAAGAAAAUGUGAAAACAAACAAGUGACGAGGAAAAAAUGUGAAGCCGAAGAAUGAAAAGAAAAAUUAAAACGAUGAUGAAUAAGUUGAAAAAGAAAGAACAGAGAAUGAAAUACAAUAUAAUAAUGAAGGUUGGGAGUUAGAAGAAAGUUUAAAUUGUUGACAUGAAAAAGAAACAACAUAAAACGAAUACAAUUUGAUUAGCAUAUGCUUCCAUUUCAGGUACUUUUCGGCGUGUACUUGACUAAAAGUCAACUUGAUUAAAAACUGAACAAUCAUGAAUUUUUGUCCUUAUACUCACAUCUCUGCCAAUGACUCAAGGUAAUUGACUUUGCUGUAUACUGCGUGGGUCCACACUCUCACAAAAUUCACCAAUGCAUGUCCAUUAAACAUUCUUCAUAAUAUUUUUCAAAUGAUGUUUAUUCCUAGGAUUUGUUUGAUCAUAGUCAUAUCUCUUUCCAUUGUAACUGUUACGUUGGGUAACCGGAGAUUAAUGGGCUGGACUUGUAAGGUUGGUCCAAUCGUUUGAAGGAGGAGAUCUCCGAUUCAGUUUGCGCUCGGGAGCCACCAUCCGACUUGUAUGUGUGAAGGAAUGGGGGUGGUACCUGCAAGGACACUCCAAUGCCUAAAUCAGCAAAGGGUUUUUAUAGGUUUACAAAGUAUUGGAACUUAGAGAUACCUGAGAGGUGUCAGUGUAUUUAUAGUGGUGAUCUAAUAACCACCGUUGGAGUAGUUCCACCUUUUAAGGUGGAUAACCGUCCCUUAAUCUUAGAGAAUUUGAGAUAUGGCUCAUGCAAGUGGGUUGAGAGAUUUUAGCGGCAGUUACUUAUUUGAAUAAGUGUUAUCUGCUAGCUAUCCUCAAAGCCCGACUUCUUGGAAAGAAAGCGUGAGUAGAAUCCGACCUCUUCGAGGGAGGUCGGUUGUUAACAAAGGCCAAUCUUUGGAUUGGGCCUUCUUGGCUUAUUUAGUCCUGGGCCUUAGUGUUGGGUUAGGGUAUGAACAGUGCCCCUACUCGAGUCUGAUCUCUUUUGUUAAUGAGUAGGAUUCGAGUAUUUGAACUUGGUCUUGUAACCGAAGUGAUUUUUAGAACCGACGUGAUUUUUAGAACUGACGUGAUUCAAAUUUCUUCAACAGUCACGUCUAAUCAAACGUCGUGUCCGUUAAAGUUUUUGUAUUUACACGUGGGAGCAAUUACAUUGGUAACGGCGCGUCUCUUUAAUGAUGGCGCCAAUUUUACCAUUUUGCCCCUGGCGUGUUUAUAAAUACUUUUUCCUCUCUUUUCUUUAUCUUCUUUCGUCUUUUGAAAUCCCUUACUUGCAAUCCUUACUUUUUCAAAGAGAGAGCGUUUUAGCCUUCCUUCUUGGGGUGUUGCGAUUACUGUUGCCUCCGCUUCUCUUCGCUUCUACCAACAAAGGUUAGUUUUUCUUUCUCCUUUUCUUAGUGCUUUAUUUUGUGCAUUUGGAGGAGUUUUUCGUGUUUGCAGUAAGUUUAUUGGUAGGUCUAGUGACUCUAUUCUUUUUGAGGGACUGCUUUGGCCUUUUAGAGACCCUGUUUUUGAUCUUUUUUCCAUUUUCCUCUGUAGGUCUUGUCGCCUUUCUCCUAUUUCUUUUUACUGGAAAAAGAUGACUUCUCACGUUUCUGAGUGGGUAGAUGAUACGGUUCUUAGGGUAGACACAGACUAUAUCAUCGAUCUCCACACCCACCAUAAGAUUUUUGGCUCUGAUGUGAGCCCAAGUAUGAGUUGAUUACCCCGGGUCCUAAAGACCGGGUUUGUUUUGGGGAGGCUACUGAAGCUGACCCUCCUUUCUUUUUAUGUACGAUUGUUCGUUUACCCGUCUGGGGGUUCUUCUACCAUUUUCUGACUUUGAAAUAGCUGAUUGUCUCAUUGUCGCGUCGCUCCCACCCAACUUCACCCUAACUCUUGGGGUUUCAUGAAAAUUUACUAACUUGUUAGCUGAGAAUUAGAUUUUCUGACUUCUUUGAAGAUUUUCUUUUAUCUUUUUCAUAUGACCAAGCCCUUCAGUGGGCAAAAUAAUAAGCAGCAGUAGGUAUCUUUCUGGGCCAUUCAAGGUCGGAGAGUUUUCUCCAUGUUUGACGAGUCCUUUCAUGAUUUCAAGAAUUUUUAUUCAAAAUCCAAGCAGUAGAGGGUCACCAUCCCUUUUUCCUUGAUGAACAUUCCAGCCCCUUCUUUCCUCUAUAUUGGCGAAAAGCUUCUCCUGUAGAAAAGUACGGUCUAGAUGAUUUGGAUGAAGUUGAGAAGACCAUAGUGGGAUUCUUCCAGGAAGCUUGGGGGAGAGCCCCUUACCUGGAUACCAAAAAAUUUCUUCAGGGGUCUCCGAGUUUUGUGCGGACCCAAUUAGGUAGCUGCGUUGUUGAUUUUGAUAACUUCCGACUUGUAAUCUUUCGAUUUGUUGCUUCCAACUUGUGGUCUUCUGAUUUGUAAACUAAUUCUUUGUUUUCUCCUUUUUCAGAGAUGGUGAAGAAAGGUUCUAGCGCCUCUUACCAAAAAGUCCAGGAGGCCAAGAGGAGGUCUCAGGCCCAGGUUGAUGCUGCCAGGGUUGUUGGCGCUCCUCUUCCUCCUCCUCCUCCUCCUCUCCCUCGUGAUCUGGGGACUUCUCGUCCGAUCUUGGUAACUUCGUCUUCUGCUUCUCCUUUUCCUCCACCCAUCCUUCAGCCCAUUCCUUCCCUGAACCCACCCAGAAAAAAUGCAAGACUUCUGGCUCAUCUUCUGGGGAUUCCUCCUUUGAUGGUCCCAAAUUCAUUCGGAAUCACAUCUUUCCCCAUACUCAAAUUAGUAUGAAUGAUGCUUCCGUUCGAAACCAUCUUAAUACUAUGGUUCAGGGGAGUGUUCAGGCAGCUGGGGUAUGCACGAGGCUCCUUGAUAUUUUGGAAAAAACUCUCCUUAGCUCUUUGGGCUCUACCCAAAAGGUUGAGGAGUUAGAGGGGAGGAUCUUUCUUUAUCAAGAGAAAGAGAAAAGGCUUAAGGAGGAGGUCGCUGAGCUAAGGGAGAAGAGGUUGAUGGGCCAGUGUGGCAUGGCAGAGGGCCUUAAGAAAAAGGUGGAGCAGAAUUAUGUCAGACUUUUUGGGGAGAAUCUUGACCUGAAGAAGGAACUGGCAAGAGGUCGGGAGGCUUACUAGGAUCUGGAAGACUCCAUGGCGGAGAGCUCGGAGGAGGACUGGAGGAUCUUCAAGGAACAAGUCGGCGUUAUCGCUCCUGACCUGGACCUUUUCCCUCUCGAUCCUGAUAAGAUAGUCGUGAAUGGGGCUAUUGUUUCUCCUCCUCGACCUUAGACUGACUCCGAUCUGAAGACUCGCGGACAGAGGAUAAUAGAGUCUCCUCCUCGUGAGGAGUAACAAGAAGGAGACCUGCCGAGUUCUUCAGAGGUUCCCACUCAAGAUCCUGAAGAGGCUGCUCCGUCCUUCCCUGCUGCUGAUCUGACCUCCCUUCCUGCUGGUGAUUCCAAUCUUUCUUCCACUUAAUUGAUUUCUGGCUAUUUUGGGGCCUGUCCUAUGGGCCCCUUUUUUGAACAAUUUUAUUAUCUUUUUGUGGUGAUUUUGUUGUUGACUUUCCUAGCCUUUUAUAGCUGUUAACAAAAAAUGCAUUUAAUUUCUACCCCUUUUUUGGAUAAGGGAUUUAAGAUUAAUUGGUGUGUGCAUGCUUUUCUGCAAUUUUUUCUUUGUUAGGUUUUUUUAUGAAAAAAGCCCCUUUGAUCUUUUUGUUUUGGAAAAACCUUUUAUCUGGGCAGGCUGUGUUUUGUCUAAGUUAUUUGGAUUUUUCAAAGACUUGAGACAGCUUCUGCCUUUAUUUUUUAUGGUUUUCCUUUUAUCUCUUUUUGCAUUCCUCAUAAAUUCAAAUUUUCUUAUUUGAAUUGUUCAUAACUUAGGUUAUUUUCGCGAUGCAUUUCAAUUCUUUCUCGGUUUUUCCGACUUAUUGGUCGUGGUAUUUCCGAGUUAUCAUGAUCUGCUUUUAUAACCUCUUUACACCGACUUGUACCUCGUCAUUUUAUCCUGCCGACCACGUAGGUCGGGCAUGGAAUUUUUACGUUUUGUUAAGCUUAAGUCGGCACGUUUUGUAGAAAAAUGAUAAUAACUAACGGAAUUUUACAAAGAGAUGUAGAGAAAGAUCUUCAUUUAUUGGUGAAGGUACUUUUUGCUACUAAGGGGUUAAAAAUGGCUGUCCCUUAGCCUCCACUUUGAUGCCUCGUUAAAAUCCCCUUCAGGAAAACCCUUCUUUUUGGGAAAAAACCACAAAGUCGGGAAAAAGAGUACAUCAGAGAGUGGAGUUUGCUUUUAACUAUAGUACCUUUUCAUAUUACAAGCAUGCCAGGACCUAGGUAAUUCGUGCCGUUCAAGUCGGUCACCUUGUAGUAGCCUUUUCCUAGGACCUCACUAAUUUUGUAUGGCCCUUUCCAGUUAGCAGUAAGCUUUCCAUCUCCAGACUUGUUGAUGCCAAUAUCGUUUCUUAUCAAAACCAAGUCGUCUGCUAUGAAGCUUCUUCGAAUGAAUUUCUUAUUGUAUCUGUUUGUCAUCCUUUGCUUCAGCGCUGCUUCUCUUAUCUGGUCUUGUUCUCAGACUUCGGGAAGUAACUUGAGUUCUUCUUUGUGCCCCUGUACGUUAUCGACCUCGUUGUAGAAGUUCACCCUUGGACUUUGCUCGUUGAUUUCAACUGAUAUUAUGGCUUCUGUGCCAUAAGCAAGUCGGAAGGGUGUUUCUCCUGUGGUAGACUGAGGUGUAAUCCGAUAUGCCCAUAAUACUUGAGGGAGUUCCUCAGUCCAUGCGCACCUUUUCAUUAAACCUGCCAGUAUAACUUUAUUUACUGUCUCGGUUUGUCCAUUUGCUUGUGGGUGCUCUACCGAAGUGAAUUGAUGCUUGAUCUGCAUGCUAGCUACCAGGUUUUUGAAGGAAGAGUCGGUGAACUGAGUGCCAUUAUCAGUGGUGAUGGAAUGGGGUACCCUAUACCUUGUGAUAAUGUUCUUGUAGAGGAACUUCCGACUUCUCUGGGCUAUGAUGGUAGCUAACGGUUCUGCUUCUAUCCACUUCGUGAAGUAGUCUACUCCCACUAUUAGAUAUUUUACUUGCCCAGACGCUUGGGGAAAGGGUCCUAAUAGAUCCAAUCCCCAUUUUGCAAAAGGCCAUGGAGAAGUUAUGCUAAUGAGCUCCUCGGGGUGAGUGACGUGGAAGUUUGCAUGCAUUUGGCAUGGCUGAUACUUCUUCACGAACUCGGUGGUAUCUUUUUGCAAGAUUGGCCAGUAGAACCCAACUCGGAUUACUUUUUUAGCCAACGACCUUGCUCCGAGAUGAUUUUCAUAGAUACCACUGUGGACUUCCUCAAGUACCUCGAUUUUUUUGAGGUCAGGACGCACUUCAAUAAUGGUGUCGAUAUUUCCCUUUUAUAGAGAACAUUUUCCACCAAGGUAUAGUUUUGUGCUUCCCUUCGGAUUUUCUUGGCCUAUUUUUCCUCUUUGGGUAGGAUGUCGAACAUCAUGUAUUCGAUUAGUGGGUUUAUCCAUCCGAGGUCUAAUCCGGAUACUUCGAGGAUGUCUUGUCUGGCCUCUGUUUUUGUGACAGAGGAUUCUUGGAGAGUUUCUUGGAUCAGGCUUCUAUUAUUCCCUAUUAGCUUGGUACUUGCUAGUUUGGAAAGGGCGUCUGCUCUGCUGUUAAGAUCCCGAAUUAUGUGUUUGACCUCAGUUUCGGCAAAUCGCCCUACAUACUCCAAAGUUUUGUCUAAGUACCUUUUCAUGUUAGGGUCUUUCGCCAGGUACUCUCCAUUGAUUUGUGAAGUCACCACCUGAGAGUUGCUGAACACAACUACUUUGGUUGCGCCGACCUCUUCUGCCAGUUUUAACCCUGCAAUCAAGGCUUCAUAUUCUGCUUGAUUGUUGGAGGCUGAGAAUUCAAAUUUGAGGGAGACUUCUACUUAAGUUCCCUCUUGGUUGACUAAGAUUAUGCCUACGCCACUUCCAACUUUGUUGGAGGAUCCAUCUACGUAUAGCUCCCAUAUAGUGGAAGCUUCCACUUGAUCUCCUGCAUAUUCUGCCACGAAGUCGGUGAGGCAUUGGUCUUUGAUUUCCGUCCAAGUUUUGUACUUAAGGUCGAACUUGGAUAGCUCUAUGGCCCAUUGAACCAUUCUACCCGCAAUGUCCGUCUUUUGGAGGAUUUGCUUCAUGGGUUGGUUCGUUCGAACUCUUAUUGUGUGAGCUUGAAAAUAAAGCCGUAGCCUUCGAGAGGCUACUAUUAAGGCAUACGCAAACUUCUCCAAUUUUUGAUACCUUAAUUCAGGGCCUUGUAGAACUUUGCUGGUGAAGUAUACAGGAUGCUGCUCGACCUCGUCUUCCCGUAUUAGAGCUGAUGCUACAGCUUUGUCAGCUACGGACAAAUACAGGACGAGUUCUUUCCCAACUUUAAGUCGGGUCAGAAUAGGAGGCUGGCUUAAAAACCUUUUGAACUCCUGGAAUGCUUCUUCGCACUCUAGAGUCCAUUCGAACUGGCAUCCUUUUCUUAGUAAAGAAAAGAGUGGUAGGGAUCUUAACGCCAAUCCUGCCAAGAACCUGGAGAGAGCUGCAAGUCGGCCAUAAUCAUGUUCUAUCCAAGAAAAGCACAACUACUAGUGCUUGUGACUUUGAUUCUUUAAUCGAGACAACAAAUUUUGCAAUUAUAAGCAAAACAAGAGUAGCGAGAAUCGAGAACCAAAUUGCAUGUCAGCAUUGGCUAUUAAAAGAUUCAGCCACUGGCUUAUUCAGAACGGACAUCAUCAUUGGCGCUAGUAAUUUGAAGACAGUUUACAAGAGCCAAUUUGAACCACUUCCAACUUUGUUGGAGGAUCCAUCUACGUAUAGCUCCCAUGUAGUGGAAGCUUCGUCUUGAUCUCCUGCAUAUUCUGCCACGAAGUCGGUGAGGCAUUGGUCUUUGAUUGCCGUCCAAGUUUUGUACUUAAGGUCGAACUUGGAUAGCUCUAUGGCCAAUUGAACCAUUCUACCCGCAAUAUCCGUCUUUUGGAGGAUUUGCUUCAUGGGUUGGUUCGUUCGAACUCUUAUUGUGUGAGCUUGAAAAUAAGGCCGUAGCCUUCGAGAGGCUACUAUUAAGGCAUACGCAAACUUCUCCAAUUUUUGAUAGAUUAAUUCAGGGCCUUGUAGAACUUUGCUGAUGAAGUAUACAAGAUGCUGCUCGACCUCGUCUUCCCGUAUUAGAGCUGAUGCUACAGCUUUGUCAGCUACGGACAAAUACAGGACGAGUUCUUUCCCAACUUUAAGUCGGGUCAGAAUAGGAGGCUGGCUUAAAAACCUUUGGAACUCCUGGAAUGCUUCUUCGCACUCAAGAGUCCAUUCGAACUGGCAUCCUUUUCUUAGUAAAGAAAAGAGUGGUAGGGAUCUUAACGCCAAUCCUGCCAAGAACCUGGAGAGGGCUGCAAGUCGGCCAUAAUCAUGUUCUAUCCAAGAAAAGCACAACUACUAGUGCUUGUGACUUUGAUUCUUUAAUCGAGACAACAAAUUUUGCAAUUAUAAGCAAAACAAGAGUAGC